GUCCUGUGGAGGUCCUACAGGACCUCAUAUUAGAAGACAUCGAAGACAAUGAGCUACCCCGUGACGUGGAGAAGCCUGCGGGCCAGUAUCACCACCGUCCUGUGGAGGUUCUACAGGACCUCAUAUUAGAAGACAUCGAAGACAAUGAGCUACCCCAUGACGUGG
Non-coding RNA from Callithrix jacchus (white-tufted-ear marmoset), 165 nucleotides. NCBI's taxonomy places the organism in Eukaryota, Metazoa, Chordata, Mammalia, Primates, Cebidae. The record is from RefSeq and is a predicted model, not a curated record.